RNAcentral lists this ribosomal RNA (497 nucleotides) under Bacillus pseudomegaterium. RNAcentral's name for it is "bacterial SSU rRNA". It matches the Rfam family "Bacterial small subunit ribosomal RNA", at positions 28 to 508 of the family's 1533-position model. The record is from RNAcentral. Lineage: Bacteria; Bacillati; Bacillota; Bacilli; Caryophanales; Bacillaceae.
GACGAACGCUGGCGGCGUGCCUAAUACAUGCAAGUCGACCGAAUCAAUAGGAGCUUGCUCCUGUUGGUUAGCGGCGGACGGGUGAGUAACACGUGGGCAACCUGCCUGUAAGACUGGGAUAACUUCGGGAAACCGGAGCUAAUACCGGAUAAUCCUUUUCCACACAUGUGGGAAAGCUGAAAGUCGGUUUCGGCUGACACUUACAGAUGGGCCCGCGGCGCAUUAGCUAGUUGGUGAGGUAACGGCUCACCAAGGCGACGAUGCGUAGCCGACCUGAGAGGGUGAUCGGCCACACUGGGACUGAGACACGGCCCAGACUCCUACGGGAGGCAGCAGUAGGGAAUCUUCCGCAAUGGACGAAAGUCUGACGGAGCAACGCCGCGUGAGCGAUGAAGGCCUUCGGGUCGUAAAGCUCUGUUGUUAGGGAAGAACAAGUAUCGGAGUAACUGCCGGUACCUUGACGGUACCUAACCAGAAAGCCACGGCUAACUACGUGC